GAUGAACGCUAGCGGCAGGCUUAACACAUGCAAGUCGAGGGGUAGGUUACUUCGGUAAUUGAGACCGGCGCACGGGUGCGUAACGCGUAUACAAUCUACCUUUUACAGAGGGAUAGCCCAGAGAAAUUUGGAUUAAUACCUCAUAGUAUUUUUGAAUCGCAUGAUUUGAUUAUUAAAGUUCCAACGGUAAAAGAUGAGUAUGCGUCCCAUUAGCUAGAUGGUAAGGUAACGGCUUACCAUGGCUACGAUGGGUAGGGUCCUGAGAGGGAGAUCCCCCCACACUGGCACUGAGACACGGACCAGACUCCUACGGGAGGCAGCAGUGAGGAAUAUUGGACAAUGGGGCGCAAGCCUGAUCCAGCCAUGCCGCGUGCAGGAUGACGGUCCUAUGGAUU
RNAcentral lists this ribosomal RNA (395 nucleotides) under uncultured bacterium. RNAcentral describes it as "bacterial SSU rRNA". It matches the Rfam family "Bacterial small subunit ribosomal RNA", at positions 28 to 424 of the family's 1533-position model. The record is from RNAcentral.